CGGUGUCGUGCGGCAGUCGUGGCACAAAUUUGUUCGCGCGAGUGUACGGGAGCGUGUGCGAGGACUCCAGAAUAAAAGCAACACCGUGGCUGUGUCGUCGAGCGGUGAUCAAGUGCCACUCGAGCGCAGUGGAAAAUGGGACAGGGGAAAUUUCUACGUGUGCACCACCGCCAUUUUAGAAAUGCGAGAACACCCACACAGGAACCAACACACCCACAGCGAUCAGAUUAUUAGAACCGCGUGCACGAAUCGAUGAUUUUACAUUAAACAUUUUUAAACUAUCAAACAUAUUUCUCGCGAAGCACUGCGGCUCGAUCGCCGUGUACUUAGGAUUGUACACGAUGACUUAUUAUUUCAAAUAAUAAAUUACUUUAUUUCAUAAUAA
Molecule: long non-coding RNA, 385 nt
Organism: Megalopta genalis
Lineage: Eukaryota; Metazoa; Arthropoda; Insecta; Hymenoptera; Halictidae
Source: RefSeq, a predicted model, not a curated record